RNAcentral lists this ribosomal RNA (440 nucleotides) under uncultured bacterium. RNAcentral's name for it is "partial 16S ribosomal RNA". It matches the Rfam family "Bacterial small subunit ribosomal RNA", at positions 338 to 795 of the family's 1533-position model. The record is from RNAcentral.
CCUACGGGAGGCAGCAGUGGGGAAUAUUGCACAAUGGGGGAAACCCUGAUGCAGCGACGCCGCGUGAGCGAUGAAGUAUUUCGGUAUGUAAAGCUCUAUCAGCAGGGAAGAAAAUGACGGUACCUGACUAAGAAGCCACGGCUAACUACGUGCCAGCAGCCGCGGUAAUACGUAGGGGGCAAGCGUUAUCCGGAUUUACUGGGUGGAAAGGGAGCGUAGACGGCGGUGCAAGCCAGAUGUGAAAGCCCGGGGCUCAACCCCGUGACUUCAUUUGGAACUGUGCUGCUAGAGUGUCGGAGAGUCAGGCGGAAUUCCUAGUUUAGCGGUGAAAUUCGUAGAUAUUAGGAGGAACACCAGUGGCGAAGGCGGCCUGCUGGACGAUGACUGACGUUGAGGCUCGAAAGCGUGGGGAGCAAACAGGAUUAGAUACCCCUGUAGUC